This 501-nucleotide ribosomal RNA is filed under the name uncultured bacterium. Its description in RNAcentral is "partial 16S ribosomal RNA". It matches the Rfam family "Bacterial small subunit ribosomal RNA", at positions 30 to 526 of the family's 1533-position model. The record is from RNAcentral.
AUUGAACGCUGGCGGCAGGCUUAACACAUGCAAGUCGAGCGGGGGAAGGUAGCUUGCUACCGGACCUAGCGGCGGACGGGUGAGUAAUGCUUAGGAAUCUGCCUAUUAGUGGGGGGCAACAUCUCGAAAGGGAUGCUAAUACCGCAUACGUCCUACGAGAGAAAGCAGGGGAUCUUCGGACCUUGCGCUAAUAGAUGAGCCUAAGUCGGAUUAGCUAGUUGGUGGGGUAAAGGCCUACCAAGGCGACGAUCUGUAGCGGGUCUGAGAGGCUGAGCCGCCACACAGGGACUGAGAAACGGCCCAGACUCCUACGGGAGGAAGCAGUGGGGAAUAUUGGACAAUGGGGGGAACCCUGAUCCAGCCAUGCCGCGUGUGUGAAGAAGGCCUUAUGGUUGUAAAGCACUUUAAGCGAGGAGGAGGCUACUUUAGUUAAUACCUAGAGAUAGUGGACGUUACUCGCAGAAUAAGCACCGGCUAACUCUGUGCCAGCCGCCGUAAAAC